UACAGAGGUCUCAAGCGUUGUUCGGAUUUAUUGGGCGUAAAGAGCUCGUAGGCGGCUUGUCGCGUCGUUCGUGAAAACUUGGGGCUCAACCCCAAGCUUGCGGUCGAUACGGGCAGGCUAGAGUUCGGUAGGGGAGACUGGAAUUCCUGGUGUAGCGGUGAAAUGCGCAGAUAUCAGGAGGAACACCGGUGGCGAAGGCGGGUCUCUGGGCCGAUACUGACGCUGAGGAGCGAAAGCGUGGGGAGCGAACAGG
RNAcentral lists this ribosomal RNA (253 nucleotides) under uncultured bacterium. RNAcentral describes it as "partial 16S ribosomal RNA". It matches the Rfam family "Bacterial small subunit ribosomal RNA", at positions 524 to 776 of the family's 1533-position model. The record is from RNAcentral.